AUUAAUUUAUGUAUUUAAAUAUAAUUUAUGUUUUAUUUGUAGUCGUUCUUCUUUAGUCAGAAAUAAUUAUCGUCUAUAUAUUUAAUGUUUUCACUUGACUUUAUUCUGAAUUUUCUUAAGAACAUGAUGAACUACAGAAAGAGAUACAAGCGAUACAACAAGAACAUGAUCAACUACAGGAGGAGAAGGACACAAUACAAAAAGAAUACAAUGAAUAUUUACAGAAUGAGACCAAGAGAAUAGCACAAGAACAUGAUCAACUACAGGAAGAGGCGAAAAGAAUACAAGAAGAACGUGAUCGACUACAGAAUGAGAACAAGAAAAAAAAACAAGG
This is a long non-coding RNA of Labeo rohita (rohu), 334 nucleotides long. RefSeq lists it as uncharacterized. The transcript has 5 exons. NCBI's taxonomy places the organism in Eukaryota, Metazoa, Chordata, Actinopteri, Cypriniformes, Cyprinidae. The record is from RefSeq and is a predicted model, not a curated record.